GAGGAGUGAUGGGCAGACCCGGCACAUCCCUCAGGCACUAGACCUAUCACAAGUGGACUCAGUUCCCUCCCACCCUGCUUCGCUGUGCCCCAAGAACACUGAUCUGUUUGCGAUGAUUGAAAAGAUGCAGGGAAGCAGGAUGGAUGAACAGCGAUGCUCCUUCCCACCACCCCUCAAAACGGAAGAAGACUACAUUCCCUACCCAAGCGUUCACGAGGUCUUAGGGCGAGAAGGGCCCUUCCCGCUCAUCCUGCUGCCCCAGUUUGGGGGCUACUGGAUUGAAGGCACCAACCACGAACUCACCAGCAUUCCUGAGAUGGAGCCACUGCAGUCGCCCACAACCAAGGUGAAGCUGGAGUGCAACCCCACAGCCCGCAUCUACCGGAAGCACUUUCUUGGCAAGGAACAUUUCAAUUACUACUCACUGGACACUGCCCUCGGCCACCUGGUCUUCUCCCUCAAGUAUGACGUCAUCGGGGACCAAGAGCACCUGCGGCUGCUGCUCAGGACUAAGUGCCGGACGUACCACGAUGUCAUCCCUAUCUCCUGCCUCACAGAAUUCCCCAAUGUGGUCCAGAUGGCAAAGCUGGUGUGUGAAGAUGUCAAUGUGGAUCGAUUCUACCCUGUGCUCUACCCCAAGGCUUCCCGGCUCAUCGUCACCUUUGAUGAACAUGUUAUCAGCAAUAACUUCAAGUUCGGAGUCAUUUAUCAGAAGCUUGGGCAGACCUCCGAGGAAGAGCUCUUCAGCACCAAUGAGGAGAGCCCUGCCUUUGUGGAGUUCCUUGAAUUUCUAGGCCAGAAGGUCAAACUGCAGGACUUCAAGGGGUUCCGAGGUGGCCUGGACGUGACCCACGGGCAGACGGGGACCGAGUCCGUGUACUGCAACUUCCGCAACAAGGAGAUCAUGUUUCAUGUGUCCACCAAGCUGCCCUACACUGAAGGGGACGCCCAGCAGUUGCAGCGGAAGAGGCACAUCGGAAACGACAUCGUGGCAGUGGUCUUCCAGGAUGAGAACACGCCCUUCGUGCCCGACAUGAUCGCAUCCAACUUCCUGCAUGCCUAUGUGGUGGUGCAGGCCGAGGGGGGUGGCCCUGAUGGGCCCUUCUACAAGGUCUCGGUCACCGCGAGAGAUGACGUGCCCUUCUUUGGGCCCCCUCUGCCAGACCCUGCUGUGUUCAGGAAGGGGCCUGAGUUCCAGGAAUUUUUGCUGACAAAGCUGAUCAAUGCUGAAUAUGCUUGCUACAAAGCAGAGAAGUUUGCCAAGCUGGAGGAGCGGACCCGCGCUGCCCUCCUGGAGACGCUGUAUGAGGAACUCCACAUUCACAGUCAGUCCAUGAUGGGCCUGGGCGGUGAUGAGGACAAGAUGGAAAACGGAGGAGGUGGAGGCGGUUUCUUUGAGUCCUUCAAGCGGGUCAUCCGGAGUCGCAGCCAGUCCAUGGAUGCCAUGGGGCUAAGCAACAAGAAGCCUAACACUGUGUCCACCAGCCACAGCGGGAGCUUCACUCCCAACAACCCUGACCUGGCCAAGGCAGCUGGAAUAUCAUUGCUUAUUCCUGGGAAAAGUGCAAGUAGAUUCGGACGCCGGGGCAGUGCCAUAGGCAUAGGAACCGUGGAAGAGUCCCUGAUUGUCCCUGGGAAGAGCCCCACAAGGAAGAAGUCAGGCCCGUUUGGCUCCCGCCGCAGCAGCGCCAUCGGCAUCGAGAACAUCCAGGAGGUGCAGGAGAAGAGCGCCAGGCCCCGAGCUGAAUCCUCUCGCUGCCCCUGUGUGCCCCGCAGGGAGAGCCCUCCGGCUGGCCAGAAGACCCCAGACAGCGGGCACGUCUCACAGGAGCCCAAGUCGGAGAACUCUUCCACUCAGAGCUCCCCAGAGAUGCCCACAGCCAAGAACAGAGCGGAGACAGCAGCCCAGAGAGCAGAGGUGCUGAAGGACUUUUCCCGCUCCUCGUCCAGUGCCAGCAGUUUCGCCAGUGUGGUGGAGGAGACGGAGGGCGUGGACGGGGAGGACACAGGCCUGGAGAGCGUGUCAUCGUCAGGGACGCCCCACAAGCGGGACUCCUUCCUCUACAGCACAUGGCUGGAGGACAGCGUCAGCACCACCAGCGGUGGCAGCUCCCCAGUGAGGUGGCUCCCUCCUGCCCCCCUCCCCAGGCCUGUCCCGGUCACCCCACCCAGACGCCGGCAAGGUGGGGGACCCUGCGUGUCCCGAGAUCAAGAUCCAACUGGAAGCGUCUGAGCCACACACUCCCCAGCUGGGCUGUUAGCCGGCCACCCGGGAACUGGAGCUGAGCAGAUGAGGCCACAGAAGCACAAGGUGAAGAGGCUGUGUCACAUCCGGGCAGCCAGGACCUCUACCCCCAAGGCCAACCCCAGCCCCGGUUCCCCUGCUUCCCACCUCCCCUCCGCCCACCCAUCUGGGUGCUCUCCGCAGGGCGGAGCCACCCAGACCUGGGGCCGGGAAGUUGCUGGCGUCGUCCCACUGGCCCAGGCAGUGCUCAGCUGAAGCAGGACUGCAGGCGGGGCUUGCCCUGCCCUGAGCCUCCAUCACCCAGCUGCCCCUCUGGGUGGGGGAGCAAAGUGGGCGAGGGAGGCGGAGAGCUCAGUGCGUGCCGCUGCCUGUGGAGGUGGUGGGGUGUGAGUGUGUGGAGUGAGCACUGGGCUGCCAGCUUCGGGUUCCGCUGUGUGGCUCUGCCCAAGUGGCUCACCUUCUCUGGUUGUCUCUGCCACGUGUGGACAAGAUUAUUUCAGAGGUCACUAGAGACUGUGAUUCUGCGCACCUGACCCAGAGGGGUUGGUGUCAGUGGGCCUUCCUAUCACACUGCCCUGCUUCUUGAGGUCCCUGAUGCCCCAGGUGGGCUGAGGGCCUGCGAGCUGGCCGUGCCCACUGCCCCCCCGCCCAGGACCUCUAAGCUGCACCACAGAUCUGCCGAUUCCCUUCCACUGCCUACACAUGACAAACCGGUGACCUCCUUCUGAGAGAAAGGGACCCACCUGGCUCCUCAGCCAGCGCCCAGCUUAACCCCUGCAUCCCUCGCUCCUGGGCGCUCCAUGCUGAGGGGUCUCCACCGGCCCCCAUGCUGUGGAGGGGCAGCCAGGCACAGCUGCUGUGAGUCCAUGUCCUUGUGUGUGUCUGUCUACACUUUAGGUGCCACGCCAAAGGCCAGCCUUCUGGCCACACCCCCACUUUGGAAGCCCCGUGGCCACGUGUAUGUUGGUAACAGUUGUACAAAAUAAAUUCUAUUUAUCGCUAUUGUA
RNA transcript from Octodon degus (degu), 3252 nucleotides. It is a transcript of the gene named RAP1 GTPase activating protein, with no coding region annotated. The record is from RefSeq and is a predicted model, not a curated record. NCBI's taxonomy places the organism in Eukaryota, Metazoa, Chordata, Mammalia, Rodentia, Octodontidae. The transcript has 24 exons.